This 3460-nucleotide unclassified non-coding RNA is filed under the name Hevea brasiliensis (rubber tree). Lineage: Eukaryota; Viridiplantae; Streptophyta; Magnoliopsida; Malpighiales; Euphorbiaceae. The record is from RNAcentral.
CUGCCGGUUCACACAUGUCCAGUUAGUUUUCUGAUUUCUGUUUUCUAAUAACAAUUUAAAUAAUUAAGUUCUUCACAUGGAUUCUUGAAACAUGAUGAAGUACCAGUUUUUUCUACAAAAAUUAUUAGUGCACUAUCUUAUGAUAGUAUGUCUCAUUUCAUUUACCAUAAAUCACAUAUGCUCCAUAUUGAUGCCCUAAUAAUUUUUAUCUUAAAAUUUCUUAACAAAGAAAAAGAAAUCAACAUUGACUUCAUUACACAUUAUUCCAUACUAUAAUAUAUCUGUUCCAAUUUACCUUGUCCAAAGACACACGAGACGAGCAUACGAAUGAAAUCAUAAAAAAAAUUGAAGGCUUAUAGAUCCUUAUCUAUUUAGAACCCAAGUGAGAGAUUGGGAGGGACUUAAGAGAAAAGGAGGCUGCUUCUUUAUGUAACCUUACUAGUCACUACUGGCCCAAAAGAAACUACUCCAUUCAAGCUAAGAUGAAACUAAAAUGGAUUUAAUGCUGCAAUUUUAAUGAGGUUGUUGAGAGAAAAGCAGAGUUAUACCGGAUGACAUAAAAUUUUCACAAAGCAAUUACCUUCAGCACCUAGGUUCCAUCAAAUGAAGAAACGAGGAAAGAAAAUGUCACCCACGUGACAGAAGCAAGAUUUUUGGAAUGGAGAAGUACAUUAGAUUUAUUAUGUGAUAGUAAAUCCCUGCAAAGUUAAAGGGGAAGUUCUACAAGAUUAUUAUUAGUCAGUCGAUUAUCACCCAUGCCAAUUGAUGUUGGAAGGUAAAAAAAAUUGUCCACGAUUGAGCAUGGCAGAGAUGAAGAUGCAAAGAUGAAUGUGUGACAACACAAAAAGAGAACUAUUAGAAACAAGUGCAAUAGUAGGUUGUAGGUGACACCCAUUAAAAGGAUCAGCUAAAGAUGAUUUACCAUGUCCAGCAUUGAUGCACAGGCAUUGAAAGCACAGGCAAGCUACAGAAAUGAAUAAGUGAUAGACCAAGAAUAACAUAUUAUCCUAUCCCCAGAUUUUACUGCCAAAUGUAGCCUUAAACAAAUUAGAUUAGGAUUGAAGAUGAGUUGAGUUCUACUUGGCAGUUUGGGAUAAGGUUUGACAUCGAUAAAUGGUUUAUAAUUCAAGUUGAUUAGGCCUUUUUAUGCUUUCACAAUUAUAGAUUUUAUUUUCUGUUAGCAAAAGCUUUAUAGACAUUCAUUCUAACUGCAGAUAUAGUCUGCUGAUAUGCCAAUUCCCUCCCAAGGUUUGUGAGGGGACCACCAGUCCCAUGUGAUAAUUUCUCUUAAAAAGUCAUAUUUCCACCCAACGUAAAAAAGAUUUUAACUAAACAAAAACCUUUAUUUACCUGUAAUAUAGGUUGCAAAAGUGCUGGGUCAAAAUCUUCAGAAGAUCGCAACAGGCCCCAUAUCCUAAGGAUUUUGUCCCGAAGCUCUAUCAUGCUUUGUAUUUCUGUAUCGUUCAUCAUUGUCAGUCCAUUUACAUUGCCAUUAACGAUUAGAGUUCUCAUAAAGUCAGGGAUAGAAUUGUAUGUAUCAACAAUGCCGCCUAGAACAACAGCUUCAGUGACUCGAACUGACUCCUUAACAACUAAAACUCGAAGCUCUUCACCAUCUGGAGCCAAUAAUAGCUUCAAAACAGGUUGUAGAGCAUCUUUUGCAGAGAAAUCUCUAUCUUUUCUUCCUUCAACAAGUAAGUUUUCAAGUCUAUUCCAUCUAAACUUUCCAUCCUUGAAAAGCAACUCAAUAAGAGCAUCUCUUAGAUAUGGAUUUGGAUCCGUCAGGAGCCUUUUAGCAAAAUAGGGAUACGAAGCAGCCAGGACCUUGAAAUUAGGAUCAGCAUUAAGGGCUAGACCUUCAAGUACCGUAAGUGAUCGCAAUAUUAAUGCGUAAUAUGCUGGAACAUUAAAUGGAUAUUGAUAAAAAACAGCACCCAGACCAUCCACUAGAGUUUUGAAGUUUAGUUCACUCACAGUGUAAUUGAGUGCAUCAUCAAAGAAGUUCUGUAGUGCUGGUACAAUUGGAGACACAUCUACAUCACAAGACAAGAAAUCUAGAACAUAGUAGUCACGAGCCAUGGCUUCAUAAUCCCUAUUAACCAUGUGAACAACAUGACCAAUUAUUGCAGAUCUUGCUGCUUCUGGCGUUUCACUCAUCAUUCCAAAAUCAAGAAAAGCAAGCUUUCCCUCAGGUGUUGCCAAGAGAUUACCAGGAUGAGGAUCAGCAUGAAAGUAUCCAUAUUCAAGCAGUUGCCGGAGGCUACAUUGUAUACCCGUAUUCACAAGAUCCAGAACCUUUAGACCUUGUCUCUCAAUGGCAUCUUGGUCAUUUAAUUUAACUCCAUCAACCCACUCCAUGGUCAAGACUUUGCCACUAGUAUAUUUCCAAUAGAUAUCUGGAACAAGGAUAUCUUCCCUGUCAGCAUACAACUUUUUAAACCUCCUUGCAUUCUGUCCCUCCUGUACGUAGUUGAGCUCUUGAUAAACUCUGCGCCCAAAUUCAUCAAUUAGUGCAACAACAUCACUAGUGAUAAUGUCAACAUAUUUGUUGACAAAAUUUCCAAGGCCUCUAAUCAGGUAAAAGUCAAGUCCUAUGGCUUCUUCAAUGCCAGGACGUUGGACCUUGACAGCAACAAUUUGUCCAGAAUGCUUAAGCUUGGCUUUGUAAACUUGUCCUAAACUGGCAGCUGCAAUAGGAGAAGGGGAUAUGGAUGAAAAAAUCGCAUCAAGUGGUAGCCCCAACUCUUCCUCAAUGCAUGACAAUGCUUCUGCAUCAGCGAAUGUAGGCAAUGCAUCCUGAAGCUCUGAAAGUUCCUCAAGAUACUCAGAAGGGCAUAUGUCAGGUCUAGUAGAUAAUCCCUGCCCUAACUUGACAAAAGUAGGUCCUAAUUGAGUGAAAAUUUUCCUUAGUUCAAUAGCUCGCCUUCUCUUAUUUUGAUCAAACACCCCAUUCCUCUGGUCCAGCCAUAGUUCCAAGCCAAAUGAACCAAGAGCUAUCAAAAUCUUAAGAGUCCUCCGCAAUACCUUGAUGGGCUUGGAGCCGUAUUUAAGUGCAAGAAGCUCGGGGCUGUAGGUGGAGGCGUUGGCAGCACGAGCCAUGGCUCUUGCCUCAGCCUGCAAGUCAUCAACUCGAUCUCCAGCUUUUGCUAAAGUAAUAUCUCUGAGGGGUGGCAUCGCUUUGGGUCUUGCUUCCACCAGAGCUGCUCUUACUCUGCCACCUCUUCUUCUUACGGUGGGCGUUAAACAAGGACCCGUAGGGAAACGGUGGCCACCGGCCGAAACAAGGCUCAUCGUCACCAUUGACUCCGACUCUGUAGAAAAUACAAAUACAAAAAUUCAAUUUAACUCAAUCUAACCAAACGAAAAUCAUAAAUAAGAGAGAUUUUUUUCUCUUUUCUGUUGCGAAUAUUUUUUUUGUUUUGCUUUUUUAAAUCGUUUUAUGUGAUAACCAUUAAUUCUG